Molecule: long non-coding RNA, 14445 nt
Filed under: Capsicum annuum
Lineage: Eukaryota; Viridiplantae; Streptophyta; Magnoliopsida; Solanales; Solanaceae
Description: long non-coding RNA (CANN_LNC009853)
Source: RNAcentral
UUCAGAUGUUGUUAAGACAAGCAUUUUGAUGUCAACUCUUGUUAAGACAUUAUAUAUUACAGAUUUCUAUGUUGGCAUUGGUGUUUGUCAUUAAAUUUUAAUUUCAUUUCAUUGUACAUACCAACUACAUAGAUCAAUCCAUCUUAAAUAAUACAACAGAUAGAAACCAGAUGACAACAAUAAUGAUAACAGUGAUAUCAAUACUAAUGCUUGGUCUUUCAUGUCUUCCGUGCCUUCCAUAUCUUCCCAGUCCUUGUUGUCUUCGUUGCCUUCGAUGUCUAUCUUUAUAUUGUUCAUUUUCAUUGGCCCAUCGAAAGAAUCCACAACCAGUACCAACUUGAUAUUUUUGACAGCCCCAAAACAUUCUUCCCGGAUUGGUUGGUGUUCUUGACAUCUUAAGUUCCGCGUAAAGUUCACAAUAAUAAAUUCGAACUGUCAUGGUGUUGUAAAAAAUGACAUAAAAAAAUAACUUUCCAAUAUUACAAGCAUAGCAGAAAAAAAUAAAAUUAAAGAACAAGAACUUAGAGAGAGAAAAAAUGGAGAAGAAGGGAUGGAAAAAAACUCAAAUUGCUCCAACAAUGGCAUUGGAAGCAAAUGAGGAAGAAGGAACAUUUAUAAUGAGUGUUGGAACCUUUUUGACCAUUGGGCCCUUUAUUUUAUGGCUGACGCGCGGCUGGAGACUAAAACACAUGCUCCUAUGUGGUCCUAGCCACAUCAAAAAUUGUGUUUAAAAAGUUGAUUUUUAGUGGGUUCAGGAGUUCAGAUGACAAACAUGUAAGUAGAAGUGUCCAACUUAUAAAACCAACAUAGUACAGGGGUCCAAAAGAUCAUUUUGCCUUUUUUAUAUAAUGAAAGAAAGAAAAGUAAUGUUUGUAUAAUAAAUACAAAAUUAAAUGAAUAUGAAUAAAAUUUUCUCCCCUAUCUCAGCAUGAAAGUGCAGAUUAUCAUAAAUUUAUCACAGUAUUAAAAUCUCCACAAAUAAGUCCAGACUUAACAAUCUGCUAGGUUACUUCAUUCAGAUUUUCCCACAAUAAUUUCCUCACAACUAUCAGCAAAGAUCAAAUGAUCAUUUUUUUCUUUUGACUAGGCAAUUAAUAUUUGUGGAUCAGCCUUGAAUAAUGUUACAGUUAGCCAAUUCAUAUCCCAAAUUACCCAUAUUAUUCCAUUUUUAAAUAUCUCAAAAACUUAAUAAUUGUUGAAAGGUUUGACAAAAUGAGUCGACAUCAUCAAAACAUAUUAUCUUUUUUCAAAAGAAUCAAAUAAAAACUUCUCACCAAUAUUAAAAACAUGGUUUGCAUGCAUACUCAAUUUGGUGAACUCAAAAAAAUAAAACACCAAAGCUAUAUAAACAAAAUAUAAGUCAUAAUAUUUUUUGCUCUUUGGAGUUGCAAUAUCCGUAACCAUUUGGAUAAUAUGAUAUAUGAUCUGUAAAUUCAAUAAGUACCACAAUUGUUUGCAUUCUAAUAUUAAUCCAUUUAGCCGGAAUACAUAUACAGGCCCCUGAACUAUUUCACUUUUUUCGUAUAGGCACCUCAAUUAAGUCAGGUACCUAUUGAACCCUUUACUCAUUCACAAAUGGUUUCAAUUGAGCCCAAUUUGCUGAUGCGACAAAAAAUAUAAAAUGCGUGUAAUACACACGCUGAUGAUGUGACAAAGUGACGAAUUAAAUAACGAAACGUGUCAUUCUAAUUUAAAUAAUUAUAAAAUAAUUUUCUAAUAUAAUUAAAUCUAAUUUAAAAAAAAAAUAUAUCCCCCCCAGCUACCUACCCGAUCCUCCCUUUCUUCCCUUCAAAAUAAUAUUUUCUCCACUGUUGAACACACAAAAGCAAAAAAAAAUAAAAAAAUGAAGCACCUACCCUGCAGCUGCCUACCCAAUCUUCCUCCUCCCCCCUCUUCCCUUCCAAACACCCCCUUCUCCAUUGUUUAGCAUACAAAAGUAAAAAAAAUAAAAUUGAAUCUUCUUCUUCACUUAUCUCCUAAAAUUUUUUAAAAAGUUAGUUUUUUUCAUUGUGGUUUUCUGUGAAAAUGUGAAAUCUUUAUUCCCGACUGUUGUAUUUAUUCAUUCUUUGAUCCUUGAUGAAUAUCUCGCCUCUUGCUGAUGGAUUCCCAAGUUGACUAUUCUCGUUCUUAUAUUAUGUGAAUUUGAAACUGCUAAACUUGAAAUAGAUGGUGUGUUUUUUAAUUGCUCGUGGUACUGCUUUCAAGACUAGCAAAAUUAAAAUAUUCUUGACAAACUAUUGAAGUACAUUUGCUUGUUUUCUUAGUUUUUGUUCCAUUUGUAGUACUUAUGGCACCACAGAGGUGUUGCAGUAGUUUGAGCUGCAGGAAGUACAAAAUAUUUCAUGGAAGUAGAAUCAUGAUUGGUGAAACAUGUAGUAUUCCAUGUGACCUUGUCGUUUCUUUCUCUUCUGUUUGGUUUUGGUUCUUUUUUUGUGUCUAGGGGAAAUGGGAGUCGGGUUGACCCUUUGGGGUAGGAUCGAAAAUCAUAGAUAGCACAACUGAGUCAUGGAGUGUUUUGUAGGGGAAGAACAAAAUCUGUGUCCCUUCUGUUUAUUAGCGUAGUAUACAUGUGAGUUUUGAAUUUGAUGUUCCAACUUCAUAUUAUACACUAGGAAUUGAGAUCUGCUCUGAGAAUUGACAUCUGAGAAUUGAAUUUGAUGUUCCAACUUCAUAUUCUUUUUUGUUUGAUAGAUCCAUCGUAGAUAAUGGGAAUUCAUAUUUUGAGCAAGUAGACUGGUAGGAUUGUUGACAAUUCUAAGUCGAGUACAUUAGUGACACGAUAUGAAGCUUUAUGUUUUAAUUUUUCUCUAAAAGAGCUGGGAUGGAGUUAAAAAGAAUGGUUGUUGCAUUUGAAUUAGAUGUUGUAUAUGAUAUUUUUGGUGAGUUAUGGAGAAAAAGAUGAUGCUAUUUUUUGUAUGUAAAAAAAAUGGAAAAUGGUGAGUUAUGGAGAAGAAGAUGAUGUUUUUUUUUUCCUUUUUAUUUCUUUAAUAUAGCUUUUUUAAUUGGUUGGAUUUUUUAUGUUUAAUUUUUUUUUAUUAAUUAUGGUCUCUCACUCUCCUAAUAGAGAGUGUAUUACACAUGCCACGCCAUGUCAGUGCCACGUCAGCAAUUGUGCUCAAUUGAAACAUUUUGUAAAGGAAUAAAUGAUUCAAUAGGUACCUGACCUAAUUGAGGUGCCUAUACGGAAAAAGUCAAAUAGUUAAGAGGCAUGUAUAUGUAUUUAGCCGUCCAUUUAAAUCUAAAAGAAGACUCUACAUGGCAUUUAGGACUCGUUUGGUAGAGUGUAUAAGAUAAUACUGAAUAUGUUGUAUUAGUAAUACUGAGAUUAGUAGUGCAGGGAUUAGUAAUACUGGAAUUAGUAAUACUGAGAUUAUUUUUUAUGCAGCAUUUGGUUUGAUGUAUUAAAAGCAAUAUGUAUUGUUAUAUUUUAAAAAGAAUAUUGUUUGUUUACAAAAAUACCCUCGACAUAUUAUAAUUUUGUGUAUUUUUUUUGCAAAAGUUUACUAUUCUUUUUUUAAAAUAAAAAAAGUUAAUAAUAUAACUAAUUAUUUACUUUAGAAUUUAAUGAUUUAAUCAUUCACUAACAAAAGUUAUUUUCUUAUUAUCUUUUCUUUGUUUGUUCAUCAUUUGCUUGUUGUUCCCACUUUGUGUUGUUUUUAAGUUGGAGGGAGAUACGUAUAAUUUUUGGAUAAGACAAUAAAAUCAUUAUUAAAAUAAAAUUGUAGUAUAUAGAAUGUUAAAACUAAGUCAAAAAAUUAUUUUUAUUUAUGGAUAUCCUAUUUAUAAAAUUAAAGCUUGUAUGCAAUUUGUUUUCGAAUUUUGACCAAUAAAUAAUUUUUUGAGUUAAUGGAGUAUUUUUUGUUAUAACUAAAAUUAUUUGGAGGGAUAUUAUUAUUUUGAUAAAUUGAAAAGAAGUAACUCAUAUUGAAUAAAUUGAAAAAAAAAAUAGAAACAAAUUAAAGAAAUUUAAGGACAUUUUUGUAAAUAAUAAUAAAAUUUGUAAACUAAUUUAUUUGAAUAAAUUUAUUAGUACAAAUAUAAAAAAUAAAAUUAAGAAAAUAAAAAAUAUUUAAAAGAAUUUGAGGGAUAUUCUUGUCUUUAUACAUACAAAUUUCAUAGUAUUAAAACCCAUGUAUUACUAAUACCAUCAUAUGUGAUGUAUUAGUAAUACACCCUAUAAUACCAUGUAGGGUGUAUAACUAAUACAUGGUAUUAGUAAUACAUUGGUUCAAAAUCCUACAAACAUAAUAUUAAUUAAUACCACACUUAAUACAUGGACUAUUUCUCCUAACACGGCCUUCGUUUGGUAGAGUGUAUUGAAAAUCUUAAUGCAUGCAUUAGUUUAAUGUACAAGUAGUACCUUGUUUGGUUUACUUUUUUACCUAAUGUAUAACUAGUGCAAACAUUAGUUAUACACUUUAUUAUGUAUUGAGGUGUGCAUUACUAAUGUCACCAUUUUCUUAUAUGUUAGUAAUACAAAGGAGUUCAACACAUGUAUUAGCUUGGGUAAUGACAUAAGUACCCCUCAUUUUCCUUCAAAAUAUUUUUCAAUUCCACUGAUCGCACUAUUGCCUUGUUCCAAUUUUUAGAUUUAAACACAAAUUUUAUUUUUAGAUUUAAACAUAAGCUUAAUAUUUGGAAGCAUAAUUUGAUAGUGUUGAUAACUAGGAGAAUUUUUUAUUUUUUUGAAAAAAUGUUAUAAAAAGAAAAAAUUAGUUUUCGUCACCAAUGGUUCAAUUAAAAACUAAAAUUUCUCUUUAAUUUCCCUUUCUUCCUUCACCAGCCAAAAGAAAAUUCAAUUUCCCUUUCUUCCUUCACCAGCCUGUUUCCAACAUAAUUUAAUUCAUGAAAAAUAAAUUUUAACUAUAAAUAAAAAUAUGAAGAAACAACAAUUUUUAUUGAUAAACGAUAGGGGUACAAAUCUAUUCCUCCCUUGAUUCUUCUCUCAUGAUUUUCUCCAUAAUUCGAGGGCCGUUAGUGGCGUAUUUCUCGAACAUAGGAGUAUUUGGAUUUGAUCUCCAUAAAAUGAGGUUUUGUGAAUCUUCUUGAUGUAUUUGAUUAUUAAGAAGAAAGGGUUUUGAUCUAUAAAUAUCCUAUGAAUUUAUUGGGACUUUGAAGAUCGUUGAUUUCUUUGUGAAUAUCCCGUGAAUUUGUGGGAUACUGGAGAUGCAUCUUUAAAUGGAUAUUUGCCCCCUUUAUAUAGGCAUAAUUUAGGGUUUAGGUUGAGUAGCCAUCAAGCUAGAUUUAGGGUAAAGUAGCCCCAAGAACUCUAACCAAAGCUGAACUCUUUUUGUAGAGUCCACAAAAUUUUAAUGUCUACAAAUGUUCCCUACUUCAAGGCUUGUCGGAGUGUAGACUUAAUGAAACUCAAAGACGAGUCUUGAAGUACCGCUUCCAUCUUUACGAUCCUACAGCUAUAAAUUUGCAUAUUUGAUUUAUGAGAGAAGAGAUGAAGGACAGAUUUGGUCCUACUGGGCGUGCCAAUUUGUUUCCAACAUAAUUUAAUUCAUGAAAAAUAAAUUUCAACCACGAAUAAAAAUAUGAAGAAAUAAUAAUUUUUAUUGAUAAAUGAUAGGGGUACAAAUCUGUUCCUCCCUUGAUUCUUCUCCCGUGAUUUUCUCCAUAAUUCGAGGAUUGUCAGUGGCAUAUUUCUCGAACGUAGGAUUUGGUAUGAAUUUCUCCGUAAUUUGAGGGUCGUUAGUGGAGUAUUUUUCAAAUGUAGGAGUAUUUGAAUUUGAUCUCCAUAAAAUGAGGUUUUGUGGAUCUUCUUGAUGUAUUUGAUUAUCAAGAAGAAAGAGUUUUGAUCUAUAAAUAUCCUAUGAAUUUAUUGGGACUUUGAAGAUCGUUGAUCUCUUUGUGAAUAUCCCGUGAAUUUGUGGGAUACUGGAGAUGCCUCUUUAAAGGGAUAUUUGCCCCCUUCAUAUAGGCAUAAUUUAGGGUUUAGGUUGAGUAGCCAUCAAGCUAAAUUUAGGAUAGAGUAGCCCCAAGAACUCUAACCAAAACUGAACUCUUUUUGUAGAGUCCACAAAAUUUCAAUGUCUACACAGCCAAAAGAAAAAUUAAGGCAUAUUUCUUUUCUCCGACCACCACCAAACUACAAGGUGCUUCCUCGUCUCUUUUUCCUAUCAACUUCCAUAUAAAAUGAUUAAUUAUUUAAAUAUGAUGUAACCCAAAAGCUGAUUCUAGUUCGAGAAAAAUAUAAAGAUGGACGAAACACUUUUAUCAAUUUUCCUCGAGAAAUUUGAAGCAAUGCUAAUAGGAAACAACUAUUUACAUACAUUAGGGGGGGAAGGAAAGUAAGUUUUCAGUUAAAAAAACUACUUUGUUGCAAAAAUGCAAGGUUAAGGAAUGUGGAGGGUAUUUUUGUAAACAAAUAUUUUUUUACAAAAAAUUAUACGAGAUAUAUUUUUUUUAAUACAUCAAACCAAACAGUGUAUAAAAGUCUAAUGCAAGUAUAAUUAAAGUCAGCAUUACUAAUGCAAUUAUUACUAAUACGUCAUAUUCAGCAUUAUUCUUAUACACUCUACCAAACGACCCCUUAAUGUUUUUUGGGGUCAAAAGUUGAAUAGGUUUCAUUAAUCAAUACUUACACUAGAUAUUAAAUUACAGUACCUUAAGAAGGGUUCCACAGGGCACUAACGUUAUAAAAUGGGCCACAGGGCAAUCUUUGUUUCGGUGAUUCUUCUCCUAAACUAAUCCCAAAACUAGAAAUGAUUAAUUAGGACUUGAGAACUGAAUGUGGAGAAACAAAAAACAGCGAGGUGUUGCAUGUUUUGUAAUACUCUGAUAAGUUUUAUUGUAUUUGUUAUAAGUGAGUAAAUUAUUUUUUUUUUUUGUCGAAUAUUUAACUAAUUUCAUGAUUAAAAUUAACAAAAAUAUCAAAAGUCUCGUCAAAUUGAGAAAUGUCAUGACAAAAAUUAUACUAAUAUCAAAAUUAGGAAAAUUAUACAUUAAAAAAUUGCACCAAACACUAAAAAUAGAUCAACAGUAAUGGCGAACUUACAACUCCAAAUGUAGGUUUCCUUUUUUAAAAGAUCAAUUAAAUUUAGUCGCCUAAACUUAUUAUAUAUAAAUUUAAUGGAGAAUAAAAAAUACUACACACUUUUAGGGCCGUUUGGUUUGCGGUACUAAAGUUAAUAAUCCCAGGAUAAAAAUUUAAACCACUCGUUUGGUUGUAAGUAUUUGGGAUAACUUAUUCCGAGACUAAUAAUUAGUCCCGGGAUAAGUUAUCCACCCAAUUGGUGGGAUAACAAUCCCAAGACUAUUUUUCUUUGGUAUAAAAUUAUACAUUGACUAAAAUACCCUCAAAACCUAUGAUUUCAUUUCAAAAAUCUCUCUCUAUAUAUACUAGUAUUUUAAUUAUGAAUUUUAAUAAAAGUUAAAUACUUAAUAAUUUUGACAUAAAUUUUAUAUUUACAUUAAAAAUUUAUUAGUAAUAUAUAAUAAUUUAUCAAAAAUUUAAAUCUAAAAUUCAAAAUUCUUAUUACAUCAUUAUCUCCAAUUAUCCGCUUUCAUUAAUCCGCCUCACAUAAAAAUAUCAACACCAUUGUUGAAUUACAUAUUUUAAAUUAAAUAGUUUUUAAUCACUUGAAAAUUGAUAUGGUAUAUAUAAAAUAAAUUUUAAUAUAUUAUAUGAGUGAUAUGUGUUUAAAUGAAAUGAAAUAAACAAUAAAUCCUCUUUUAUUUUAAUAAACUUAAGUUGAAAGUUUUUAUUUCAAACUAAAUAAGAUGUAGUAAAAAAAAUUUUAAACACAUAUGGCAUAAUCAUGGAAAGGCACACGCAAAAAAAAAAAAAAAGCUAAAUAAGAUGAAAGUUUUAUUUUUAAAAUAUACAUGAUAUAAUGAUAAAUAUGCGCACACACAAAAAAAUGUAAGUUAAAUAAGAUGAAAGUUUUAUUUUUAAGAAUAAAUAUUUAAAGUUUGAAAAGAAAUUAUAUAAAAAAGAAUUAAAUAAGAUGGAGGGUAUUUUUGUAAUCACUUAAUUUGUUCUUAGAAUUUAUAUCAUGCAUAUUACUUUGAAUACAAUAAACCAAACACUCAAUAAAAAAUAAUCCCAACAUAACUAAUCCCAAUAUAACUUAUUCCAUCAUAAUUUAUCCCAUCAUAACUAAUUUCAUCCGAACUUAUUUUCAAACCAAAUCGCCUCUUAAUAAAUUGAAGGAAAAAGACAUCGUUUUCACCCCAAACUAUACCCGAAAAGUCGAAGUCACACCUAAACUAUACUAGUGACCUAUUACACACCUAAACUAUAAAAAAGUGAAACUAUUUACACCCUUUCAGGCUACCACCACUUGCAUGUGAUGUAGUGUUUUACACGCGCUGCCACGUCAGCACCACGUCAGUAAAAAGUAUAAUUUUUUUAUAGUUAAGGUGUGUAAUAGGUCACUUAUAUAGUUUAAGUGUGGAUUCGAUUUUUCGACUAUAUUUAGGGUGGAAACGAUGAAUUUUCCCUUAAUGAUUUUAACCGUUUACUUUUGUUAUUUAAUAGGCUGAACGCGCUUAUAAUAAGUGUAACAUACGCGCCUCAGAAUGAGAUUAUGGGGAGGUAAUAAUAUCACUUUUUUAUAAUUAAAAUAUGUAAUAGAUCACUAAUAUAAAUUAAGUGUGACUUACACUUUUCGGAUAUACUUUAGGAUGGAAACGAUUUCUUUUGCUGUAAAUUGAACUGAUGAAAACUAGUGAUAGGUAUAUUGGAGUUUGAUGAUAGCUAGGUGGCCAAGGGGGACCCACCAUGCUCUCUGCCUUUUCCAGUUACUGCCUGCUUUUCUUUCUUCUCUGUGUGCCUCAGUAUUCUUCAUUCUACCUCUAUUUCUGUGGGCUCAUUUGGUACGUACCAUGAAUAUGAAAAAUCCUUUUGGGAUAAAGUAUGAUAUUCUUUUUAUUUGGUAUUUAACAUAAAAGUCGUUUUAUCUCAUUAUUUAUGUUUAAAUGACAAAACUAUUAUGGACUUUCAAAAAUGGUCUAUAUUUCAGUAAAAUAAAAUUGUUCUUAAUUUAACUUUUAAAAUUAUAAUUUAUAAUUUUUUUCUCUUUUUUUUUUUAGUUCUUUUUCGUUUUCUAUUUUCCUUCUCUUUUUAUCUCUUGCCUCUAUUUCUCUUUUAUUUUUCCUUUUUCUUUCUCUUUUUUUUUUUUGUUGAAUUUUAUAUUUUUUAUACUUUUGAAAAAUAUGAUUACGCCGAGUACAAAUCAUAGAAUAUGACGAAUACAUCAUAAUCGCUCAUUGUAUUUGUAUCCACCAUCAAUUUUUUUUUUAUAUUUUUGUUCUAUUUUUUUUCCAUUUUUAUAAAAUAGAUAAUUUUGUUUUCCCCUUUUUUCAUUUUUAUUCUUUUUUUUUUUUUUUUUUUUUUUUUUUUUUUUUUUUUUUUUUCGUUUUUUCUCUUUUCUAUCUCUAGCUUCUAUUUCUUAUUUCUUUUUCUUGAUUUUUUUUUACUUAUUUCUUUAUUAUUUUUUAUUUUAUUUUAUAUUUUUUGUAUUUUAAAAAAAUAUGAAUACUCAAACACAAGUCAUGGAUGAUAACAUAAAUAUCAUAGUUGCUUAUGGUAUUUGUAUUUACCAUUAUUUAUAUUUAUGUAUUCAUUGAUAUAAUUAUAUUUGUAUUUGUAUUUUAAAGUUCGUGUUUGUAUUUAUAUUUUAUACUUCGCAUUUGUAUUUCUUAUAUUUUGUAUUUCUAUUUGUAAGUUGACAACAUAUUGUAUUCGUAAUUUCAUUUGUUUUUAUUUGAAUUUGUAGUUGGCUACAUCAUUUGUGUUUUUAAACAAUCGAAAAAGAAUUGUUAUUUUUCUUUCUAUGAACACUUGUAUUUAUAUUCAUUGAUAUAAUUUGUAUUUUAUUAAUGCAAAUUGAACAAUAAAAAUAAAAAUGAUAAAUUGUACAAAUACAAAAUCACAUUUGUAUCAAAUGAUAUAUGUUUAUAUAGCUUUAACCAUAUGCAUACAAAUUAUAUGCAAAUAUAAAUGAAAAAUUUUAAAUACAAAUACCAAAAAUUUAUUUGCAUUGAAGGACACAUUAUAAAUAUAUAGUUUAGUCUCAAGCAAAUGCAAUUAAUCAAUACACUUAUUCGUAUACAAAUACAAAUGCUAAAUUGUAUAUAUUCACGACUAAACUAUUCAACUACAAAUAAUAAUUUUAUUUAAAAUAUUUAAUAUAAUACAAAUAAAUAUAAACUAUAAAAAAUAUAACAACAACAACAACAACAAUAAAAAAAAAUGAGAGAAAAAUAUGAAAAGAAGGAGAAAAAAUACCCACAAAACGAAAAAGAAUAUAAAAAAAAGUUGUAAAAAAAAUGAAAAAAAAUAUAUAAAAAAAAGGGAGAAAAGAAGAAAAGGAAAAAACCAAAAAAGAAAAAAAUAGAAAAAAGCGAAAAGAAGAAAAUGGAAAAACAAAAAAGAAAGAGAAAAUGAAAGAAAAAAGAAAAAAAGAAAAGAAAAACUGAAAAAGAAAAAAAAAAGUAAAAAGGUAAAUAAAAGAUAGAGAAAGAGAGACAGUAAAUUAUAUUUAAUUGAUAAAAAUAAUUAAUAAAAAUUUAAACUAAAUUAAAUAAUUAAUAAUUUAUAUUUGCUAAGUCAUAUAAUUAUCUCAAUUAUUUAUUACUUCGUAUAAAAAUAACAUAAAAUAUUCUUACUUAUCUAAGUAUCAAACUACCCCUGUUGAUUUCUACUGACUUUCUCGUUCACUUCAAUUCCAUUAUCAUCUUUCUUAUGUGUUUGGCUAAAAUUACCUAUGAGUGAUGUUUGACAAAAUAUACUUCAUCCAUUCUAAUUUAUAUUACGCAUUUUCUUUUGUUAUUUAUCUUUAAAAAUAACAUGUUUUUAUAUUUAAUACUUUUUACUUUAUAUUGACUAAAUUUUCGAUGUAAUGCAUAUCUAUUAGGAAAAAAACAAUUAAAACAUAAAUUAGACAUCAUUUUUUAUUUUUGUCAUUUAGUUCUUCUCAAAUUAAUCUUGAUAAUAAAGAUAGACAUUACUCAAAUAGAUCGCAAAAUAAUAAAUAUGAGCAAUAACUCUCUUAAAUUUAUUACCUAAAAAUGUAAAUAAAUGGCAAGGAUUUUAAAAAAAUAAUUCAACCACUAUCUUAAACACUGAACAAUUAACUUAUUUUAAAUAUUAAAAAAAAAAAACUCAAAAAAUCAACUAUUAUUAUGGAGUCUUUUAUUUAUGACAAAAUGUAAUAUUUUCAAUCUGAACUAUAAAUAAAAUUGCUGAGACAAACUCCAACUUAAAAGGGGUCCUAUUACCUUCCUGAACUAAUUAAAAUCGUAUUUUUGUCGAUCUUAAGAUCUACGUGGCACAUACGUGGCACACUGCGUGAAUCAACAUACUGAAGGUCCACGUAGGCAUACGUAUGCACCACGUUGGCACUUAAGAUUAUAAAAAAUACGAUUUUAAUUAGUGGAGGGGAGUAAUAGGAUCCCUUUAAGUUGGAAUGUGUCUCGUCAAAUUUCAUUUGUAGUUCAUGAUGAAAACAAUGCAUUUACUUUAGAUUUAUUCAAUAUCUUCUUAUUUUUCUCUUUUCCUUUUGCUUUUUCUCUCUAUGUUCUUUUUCUUUUAUAUUUUAUUUAUUAAGGGUGUGUUUGGUAUAAUGAAAAAUAUUUUCUGAAAAUUAUUUUUCUAUUUUUUCUUGUUUGGUUGUAAUAUAACUUUGGGAAAAUAUUUUUCAAAGAAACUCAUUUCCCUCCAUUUAAAAGAAAAUGACUUCUCUCGUGGGCUAAGGGAAGUCAAUUUUUAGAAAAUAUUGAGAUGUGACUUAUGAAAACUUGGAAUCAAAAUAAACCAAAAUAUGAAUAAAGUGACCAAAAUAGGUCAACUAUUUAAUAAGUUACCAAAAUAAGCUAAAUAUAAUAAUUUAUUACGUUUUAUAUCUUUUAUUAAUGGUUCGAUAGCGGAUAUGUACAGUAAAAUUUUUUUAGUAAAACGCAGCAAUAAUUUAUUACAUUUUACAAAUUUUUUUUAAAAACGUAAUAAUUUAUUAUGUUUUACAAAUUUUUUUGUAAAACAUAAUAAUUUAUUAUGUUUACAUAAUUUGACAUAAAGAAAUGAUGUAAUAGUACACUGAGUUUUUUUUUUAAAAAUUCUAAAGUAAAACUUUAUAACUUUUUAAACUUUUAUAAAUUAAAACUUUUUAUUACAAUUUAUAAAUUAUAACUUUUUAUUACGUUUCUUACCAAUUUUUUUUUUAAAGUUAUUGCUUCGUUUUGUCAAAUCAAGUACCACCUAACUUACUCCCUUUUGACUUUUUCUUUCAUAACUCGUAUUAAAAAGUUACUUUUUAAUAAAUAAAAAAUAAAAAUACAUAAUUAUAAAUUUAUUUUAUUAAUACGUAAUAAAAAAUUACAUUAUUUUUUAAAUUUGGCCAGAUGAAUGUAUAAUUGUUGUUGUCACAUCUCAUACAAAUUGACCGAACGAUUAAAAAUGUGUAGUUAAAUAUUAUGUUUUAGAAAAUAUAUUAUAUUUUUUAUUAGAGGGUCACACGCUCAUAUAAAGUUAAAAUUUAGAUAAAAAAAAUAUAUUUUUUAUUCACCAACUAAACAUCAUAAAAUAUUUUUUGAAAAAUAUUUUUCACUCCACAACCAAAGAUAAGGAAACAAAUAAAACACCAAUUUAUUUUCUAUGAAAACAUUUUUCAUGAAAAAUUCCAUCAUACCAAACAUACCCUAAGUGUAGUGUUUGAUUAUUAUUAGGUUCAAUGUUCCUUUGUUUUCUCACUCUAGUCGAGUACCAGAAUCUUCCAAGGAAAGAAAAGAAAGCAUUACCAAUUUUCAGGAGUAUGGCAUGUUUUUCUUCUGAAAUUAUAUAUGGUUAUACUUUUUUUGUUUCUUAACUACUGAAUUUCCUUUAAAGUAUUUUAAAAUAUAGUAUUAUCUUAUUACUCUUAUAUAUAUAAAUGAAGAGUUUUGGUAAUACUAUUUUAUCUUUUAAUGUCUACUUAUUAUUAUUCAUUUUUUUACUAUUACUAUUAUUAUUAUUAUUAUUAUUAUUAUUAUUAUUUUUACUAUUACUAUUACUACUAUUAUUAUUAUUAUUUUCCCUACUAAUAUAUAAGUCAAAGUUUGAUAAUACUACUAAUUUAUCUUUUAGUAGUAUCAAAUCUUUACUUUAUUAGUAGUAGAAUAUUACUAUUACUACUAUUCUAUUUAUUUUUAUACUAUUCUAUUUAUUAUUAUUAUAUUAUUUUACUCUUAUAUAUAAAUGAAGAGUUUUGGUACUAUUAUUUUAUCUUUUAGUGUCUACUUAUUAUUAUUCAUUUUUUUUACUAUUACUAUUACUAUUAUUAUUAUUAUAUUUUUACUAUUGCUAUUACUAUUAUUAUUAUUUUUUUCCCUACUAAUAUUUCUAUUAUAUAAAAAUGUCAUCAUUGGGACGACCAAGGGUAUGUCCGUAAAAAUGCGAACUUUCAAGGGUAAAAUGAUAAGUUUCUUUUUAAAAUCAAACCACGGCUUUUCUUACCCUUCUAGAUAUUUCUCUUUCUCUCUCCAAUCAGCACACAAUCAUACAAUUCUACUUCCUCAAGCUCUCAAACAUCAAAUUUAGAUCCAAAUAACAACAAGAACACUAACUUCUGAGGCAUGAUGCUUGGUGGUUCACUAUUUUUUCCGUUGUUUCUCUAUCUUUAAGCGGUGAUCGAUAAAAGAAUUCAAAUGACGGUACAGAUUUUAGCUUCGGAUAUGGCUACCAUUGGGUAUAUUACUUGAAUAGGUUUGACAAAGAGGAAAGCUUGCUAAGUGAACUAUUUUAGAGGCAUAUUUUUAAUAACACCCUUAUAGAUCUUAUCCGUGUUGGCUAAAUUCACCAGUGCUUGAAACCAACCAUUUUUUAUUCUUUCUUAUGGCAUUCUUCCGUGGGCCAACAUCUGUUGAUUCUCAUAAUUGAUAAGCUGUUCUUGCCAUUAUCAUGUGAGAUUUAGACCAUUGACAAAUCCUUUCAUACCUUGAAAUGGUAAGACAUAUAGUUGGAUCUUGCUAAUCAUUUAGAUGGAAAUCAAUCCCUGACUAAUUCAAAUGAACAAAAUAUAGUAUAAUACCUUGUUAGUGUAGCUGGUUGCAAUUUGUUCUCGGAACAUCUUUGGAUUGAUCUUUCUAGAUGCAUUUGGGAAUCAGGACUUCUUUUUGGUACUUUUCUUGGACACUAUACAUGAAAGGAAGUCAUUUUCAUUGGUGGAAUGAUAUUUAUGGAACCAUCACAUGAUCCUUCUCCAACUGUACUUUACCCUCUGAUAAGUAAUAAAGACACCACAAACCUACUGUAUGGUUGGCAUGUAUCCUUAAAGGAACUCCUAUGUGCGAACUUAAAGUACUCACAUAUGUUCCAUAAAUAAUAAAAAAGUAAAAUUAAUUUUGACCAUACAUUUAAUUGCAUAAAAUAAUUAUUACUAUAGUAUAGUAAAAAUAAUUAAAAAAAAUACUCAUAAUUAAUGAAUAGACGUGUAUCUAUUAUAUUAUACAUAAUAAGCG